AUUAAACGCUGGCGGCAUGCCUUACACAUGCAAGUCGAACGGCAGCACGGGGGCAACCCUGGUGGCGAGUGGCGGACGGGUGAGUAAAGCAUCGGAACGUAUCCUGGAGUGGGGGAUAACGUAGCGAAAGUUACGCUAAUACCGCAUAUUCUGUGAGCAGGAAAGCAGGGGAUCGCAAGACCUUGCGCUCUGGGAGCGGCCGAUGUCGGAUUAGCUAGUUGGUGGGGUAAAGGCCUACCAAGGCGACGAUCCGUAGCGGGUCUGAGAGGAUGAUCCGCCACACUGGGACUGAGACACGGCCCAGACUCCUACGGGGAGCAGCAGGUGGGGUAAUUUUGGACAAUGGGGCGGAAGCCUGAUCCAGCCAUGCCGCGUGAGUGAAGAAGGCCUGG
This 392-nucleotide ribosomal RNA is filed under the name uncultured bacterium. RNAcentral describes it as "bacterial SSU rRNA". It matches the Rfam family "Bacterial small subunit ribosomal RNA", at positions 29 to 419 of the family's 1533-position model. The record is from RNAcentral.